CCCGGCGUAGCUCAAUCUGGCUAGAGCGAUCGGCUGUAGCCCGAUAGGUUGCAAGUUCAAAUCUCGCCGCCGGGA
RNAcentral lists this transfer RNA (75 nucleotides) under Candidatus Nanoarchaeia archaeon. Its description in RNAcentral is "tRNA-Tyr". It matches the Rfam family "tRNA". Rfam says of the family: Transfer RNA (tRNA) molecules are approximately 80 nucleotides in length. Their secondary structure includes four short double-helical elements and three loops (D, anti-codon, and T loops). The record is from RNAcentral. Lineage: Archaea; Nanobdellati; Nanobdellota; Candidatus Nanoarchaeia.